CCUACGGGAGGCAGCAGUGGGGAAUAUUGGACAAUGGGGGGAACCCUGAUCCAGCGACGCCGCGUGAGUGAAGAAGUAUUUCGGUAUGUAAAGCUCUAUCAGCAGGGAAGAAAGAAAUGACGGUACCUGACUAAGAAGCCCCGACUAACUACGUGCCAGCAGCCGCGGGAAUACGUAGGGGGCAAGCGUUAUCCGGAUUUACUGGGUGUAAAGGGAGCGUAGACGGCGAUGCAAGUCUGAAGUGAAAGGCGGGGGCCCAACCCCCGGACUGCUUUGGAAACUGUAUGGCUGGAGUGCAGGAGAGGUAAGUGGAAGUCCUAGUGUAGCGGUGAAAUGCGUAGAUAUUAGGAGGAACACCAGUGGCGAAGGCGGCUUACUGGACUGUAACUGACGUUGAGGCUCGAAAGCGUGGGGAGCAAACAGGAUUAGAUACCCGAGUAGUC
Molecule: ribosomal RNA, 443 nt
Filed under: uncultured bacterium
Lineage: Bacteria
Description: partial 16S ribosomal RNA
Rfam family: Bacterial small subunit ribosomal RNA
Source: RNAcentral